Molecule: ribosomal RNA, 955 nt
Filed under: Formica exsecta
Lineage: Eukaryota; Metazoa; Arthropoda; Insecta; Hymenoptera; Formicidae
Description: bacterial LSU rRNA
Rfam family: Bacterial large subunit ribosomal RNA
Source: RNAcentral
CCUAAGGUAGCGAAAUUCCUUGUCAGGUAAAUUCUGACCCGCACGAAAGGUAUAAUGAUCCCUUCGCUGUCUCAACUGCAGACUCGGUGAAAUUUUAGUACCAGUGAAGAUGCUGGUUACCCGCAACUAGACGGAAAGACCCCGUGGAGCUUUACUAUAACUUGAUAUUGAAAUUUGAUUUAACAUGUAGAGGAUAACUGGAAGGCUAUGAAGCACGUUCGCUAGGACGUGUGGAGCCACCCUUGGAAUACCAGUCUUGUUAAAUUGAGUUUCUAACUUCGGCCAGUAAUCCUGGCUAAGGACAGUGUCUGGUAGGUAGUUUGACUGGGGCGGUCGCCUCCCAAAAAGUAACGGAGGCGCUCAAAGGUAUCCUCAGUAUGGUCGGAAAUCAUACAAAGAGCGCAAAGGUAGAAGGAUGCUUAACUGCGAGAAUUACAAUUCGAACAGAUGCGAAAGCAGGACUUAGUGAUCCGGCGGUCCCGAGUGGAAGGGCCGUCGCUCAACGGAUAAAAGUUACCCCGGGGAUAACAGGCUGAUCUCCCCCAAGAGUUCACAUCGACGGGGAGGUUUGGCACCUCGAUGUCGGCUCAUCGCAUCCUGGGGCUGUAGUUGGUCCCAAGGGUUGGGCUGUUCGCCCAUUAAAGCGGUACGCGAGCUGGGUUCAGAACGUCGUGAGACAGUUCGGUCCCUAUCCGUCGCGGGCGCAGGAAAUUUGAGAGGAGCUGUCCCUAGUACGAGAGGACCGGGAUGGACAUACCGCUGGUGUAUCAGUUGCGCCGCCAGGCGCAUUGCUGAGUAGCUAUGUAUGGAUGAGAUAAACGCUGAAAGCAUCUAAGUGUGAAACUCGCCUCAAGAUGAGAUUUCCCAUUCCUAUAUGGAAGUAAGACUCCUGAAAGAUGAUCAGGUAGAUAGGUUAGAAGUGGAAGCGUAGUGAUACGUGAAGCGGACUAAUACU